GAUGAACGCUGGCGGCGUGCCUAAUACAUGCAAGUCGAGCGAACAGACGAGGCGCUUGCUCCUCUGACGUUAGCGUCGGACGUGCGAGUAACACGUUGAUAACCUACCUAUAAGACUGGGAUAACUUCGGGAAACCGGAGCUAAUACCGGAUAAUAUAUUGAACUUCAUGGUUCAAUAGUAAAAGACGGUUUUGCUGUCUCUUAUAGAUGGCUCCGCGCCGCAUUAGCUAGUUGGUAAGGUAACGGCUUACCAAGGCAACGAUGCGUAGCCGACCUGAGAGGGUGAUCGGCCACCCUGGAACGGAGACACGGUCCAGCCUCCUACGGGAGGCAGCAGUAGGGAAUCUUCGGAAAUGGGGGAAAGCUUGACGGAGCAACGCCGCGUGAGUGAUGAAGGUCUUCGGAUCGUAAAACUCUGUUAUUAGGGAAGAACAAAUGUGUAAGUAACUAUGCACGUCGUGACGGUACCUAAUCAGAAAGCCACGGCUAACUACGUG
This 497-nucleotide ribosomal RNA is filed under the name uncultured bacterium. RNAcentral describes it as "partial 16S ribosomal RNA". It matches the Rfam family "Bacterial small subunit ribosomal RNA", at positions 28 to 507 of the family's 1533-position model. The record is from RNAcentral.